AGAUGGUGCCUCUUUGGAUGCACCUGGUGGCAUGGUUAGCUUAGGACAGAAGGAGAAUAAGUGAAGCUCUUUUCGAUGGCAUUUAAAGAACUUCCUUUCCCGGGACGGCAGCAGGACAUGCACCUGUACGUGAAAGGGAAGGUGUCGUGAAGAGUAAAGCCAGACCAUGUGAUGCAUUAUUCACCAUAGCCAACGUAUGGGAACGACGUCAAUGUCCGUCAACAGAUGAAUGGAUAAAGAAAACGUGAUGUGUAUGUACACAGUGGGCGUAUUCCCUAGAGAAAGGAACUCUUACCACUUGCAGCAACGCAGGUGGACCUGGAGGACAUGAGGCUAAGGGAAAUAAGUCAGACAGGGACAAACACUAUAUGAUCUCAGUUGCAAGUGGAAUCUGAGAGUGAAACGUAUAGAAGCAGGGCAUAGAAUGGUGGGUUCCAGGGCUUGGGGGAGAGCACGGGGGAGAUGCUGCAGAACAGGUAAAAAGUUUGAGUUAUGCAAGAGGAAUAAGUUCUAGAUAUCUGCUGUGCAGCGCUGUCUAUCCUUAGCAACACGGUACUGUGCACUUCAGAAUACACUGAAGGACAGAUCUCAUGUUUAGUGUUCUUCCAAAAAAAAAAAAAAGAAAAGAAAGACAAGCUAAAACCAAAAAGAACACAAAGGCAUUUUUGGAGGUGAUGGAUACGCUUAGUACUGUGAUUGUGUGAUGGUACCGUGAGUGUUUGCACAUGUCCGAACUCAUCAAGACUCGUGCAAUGAUGCUUCAAUAAACAUUUUUUAAGAAUUGCGGGCAGGCCAGUGGAAUUGGAGCAUGGAAAGGGGGCAGGGAGGUGGUUGUUGGGGAAGAGGUUGGGAGGAGAGGCAGGACCUCCUGGUUUACCAGGAGAGGCACGGAUCUCUAGGAUAGGGUCAGCCAGGCCACGGCUCUGCUGAGGUUGAGUUGAAGAGAAGCCAGCCAGGACAGGAGGGAUAACAGAGGUCCUGGGAUGAAAGUUUGCUGCACGCAGGAAGAAAAGCUUUCUGGAAAGGCGAUUAGGAAUUGCACGGCCUCUCAGUAAACCGGUGAUCAUCCCUCCUUUCCAAAGUAAUCACUCAGGAAAUUAAGUCUUAAAAAAAAGCGAGCAGGGAGAGAGACGGAACACAGAUUGGGUUUUAGGGGGAGACUUUGCAGUUCUGGUGUGGAGGAGAGGGCUGGCCGGGGACUUGGGGAAGAGGCUGAAGAUCACAUCAGCAGAAUAGUUAUGCUACCGGUGCGCCUCUCUCCGGCUCUCUACUAAAUUCUUCACGUUUAACUCCACCUCAUGCUCUGAGAGCGACUUUUAUGACCUCUGCACAGGUGACGCGUAACAAGCCAGCUCUCUGACACGUGCGGCUCAGCAGUGCAGCUCCAGAAAGGCGUUCUUUCUCAGCUGCAAGGACUCCUGGGAGAGGAAAUGUGUUGAGACUCCAACACGUCACUGUGAAUGGUUUUUCCCAACUGGAAGGGUGGCAGCCAGUGGAACGUGGCCCCCAGAGAGCGGUUGUGAAGCUGCACUGGGGACACCAGCUGGAGGACACGUGGGCCACACCCUUGCAGAGGUCAGCGCGCAGUCAGGCUCCACAUUCGUUCGACUCACAAGCUUCCCAGCAGCUGGAGCCUCCAGGCAAUGGGAUGGGGGAGGGCUUCCUUGCUGUAGGCCAGAGUGACAUGUCUGCCUGAUCUGUGCGAGACGAAGUGGCCACUCUAUCUACCGUCCCUGACACGCACUGACCACCAAGCAAGACACCUUCCAGACAACCUUCCUGACUUCUGAUAGCGCCAUGUGGUGGGCACUACUUGCCGCAUGUGAGAGAAGGGGAGACAGAGAAUCCAAACGAGUAAACGACUUGGCCAAGCUCCCUGAGAGUGAGAGCGAGUCAGUAACGUCCUCUUCGUCCACCUCCAAAGCGACUUGUCUGAGUUCACAGCUUGAAUGUGGCUGAGCAGAGACGCCUUGGGGACCUGUGACUCCUUGGUGCUCUGUACCCCUCCACCCCACAGCGUGGACAGCUGCCCCUGGGGACACUCACGGGGUCAGCCCUGCGGGGAGGGACAGCUUCUGUGUGAGAGGGGCCCAGGUCCCAUCUGCCCAAGCACACGGGUCUGUCUUCACACUGCACUCCCUUCCCCACACAUGGCGGCCCCAGGGCCCCUGCGCGCAAUGUUCUCUCUCCUCUGGCAGAAGAACCGGAGGCUCAGAUGAGCUUUAAUUUGUGACUGGACAUGUUUCAGUGACAUAUUUCCAAAUCAGAUGUUUCAUCCACUCCGUUUAUCCUAAAUUCCAUGACUCUAUUUCAGAGCCUAACAGACCCCCGCUUGGGAAAUUGACACAUCCAAAUGGACUAUUUGGAUGGAAGCUUCCGUCUGACCAAGUGCAGCCAGAGCACCCGGCAAAUGGAAAAUGCAAACAUAUGGCAGAAGGAGAAGAGCAGAUUUGCAGCCACAUUAUGAGCUCUGUGACAAAUGGGGCUCUUGCAGGGCCCAAAAUUCUUAUUGUCUUCGCUCAUGGUGGAUGGCCUUUGGGGCAGAAUGGUAAUAACCGUUCCUGAGAAUUUCGGUUCAAGUUAACUCCUAAAUAAAUUA
Molecule: long non-coding RNA, 2599 nt
Organism: Ailuropoda melanoleuca (giant panda)
Lineage: Eukaryota; Metazoa; Chordata; Mammalia; Carnivora; Ursidae
Exons: 6
Source: RefSeq, a predicted model, not a curated record